UACGAAGGGGGCUAGCGUUGUUCGGAUUUACUGGGCGUAAAGCGCACGUAGGCGGCUUGUUAAGUCAGAGGUGAAAUCCCAGGGCUCAACCCUGGAACUGCCUUUGAUACUGGCAGGCUCGAGUAUGGUAGAGGUUGGUGGAACUGCGAGUGUAGAGGUGAAAUUCGUAGAUAUUCGCAAGAACGCCAGUGGCGAAGGCGGCCAACUGGACCAUUACUGACGCUGAGGUGCGAAAGCGUGGGGAGCAAACAGG
RNAcentral lists this ribosomal RNA (253 nucleotides) under uncultured bacterium. RNAcentral describes it as "partial 16S ribosomal RNA". It matches the Rfam family "Bacterial small subunit ribosomal RNA", at positions 524 to 776 of the family's 1533-position model. The record is from RNAcentral.